GAUGAACGCUGGCGGCGUGCCUAAUACAUGCAAGUCGAGCGAACAGAUAAGGCGCUUGCUCCUUUGACGUUUGCGGCGGAGGGGUGAGUCACACGUGGGUAACCUACCUAUAAGACUGGGAUCACUUCGGAACACCGGAGCUAAUACCGUAUAACCUUUGGAACCGCAUGGUUCUAAAGAGAAAGUUGGCUUUGCUGUCACUUAUAGAUGGACACGAGCCGUAUGAGCUAGUUGGUAAGGUAACGGCUUACCAAGGCGAGGAGUCGUAGACGACCGGAGAGGGUGGUCGGCGACAUUGGAACGGAGCCACCGUCCAGAGGCCUAAGAGAGGCAGCAGUAUGGAAUCGGAGGCAACGGGCGAAAAUCUGACGGAACAACGCCGAGUGAGAGAUGAAGGCGUUCGGCGCGUAAUACCGGGUUAUGAGUGAAGAACAGAUUUGGAAGGAACUGAGCACGUAGUGACGGUAACGAAUAAGAAAGCCACGGCUAACUACGUG
This 497-nucleotide ribosomal RNA is filed under the name uncultured bacterium. Its description in RNAcentral is "partial 16S ribosomal RNA". It matches the Rfam family "Bacterial small subunit ribosomal RNA", at positions 28 to 507 of the family's 1533-position model. The record is from RNAcentral.